Molecule: long non-coding RNA, 888 nt
Organism: Stegodyphus dumicola
Lineage: Eukaryota; Metazoa; Arthropoda; Arachnida; Araneae; Eresidae
Source: RefSeq, a predicted model, not a curated record
AAGAUUACUACUUCCCCUCUUCUGUUCCCUAUUUGUGUUCUGCUUUCAACUUGAACUCAUCAUAUGGAUUACAAAUGUAAAUUGUUUACUAUUUGAAUCAAGCUAAAAUAACUGCAAAGUGAAACACUUACUACAGUAAGGUAUACAAUUUCCAAAAUGUUUUGCAUUCUGGCCUUAGUUUUCAGAGACUUAUUUUCCGACAAUAUUCAUAACAGGGACGAUAAUUCGCCAACCAUUAAACAUGCCUUUUCAGGAUCAAUAAGCAGGUUCGAGAGCAAGCAUUUCCAAGCUCGUUUAAAGCUUUAGAAAUUAUAGUGGCCAAAACAGUAGCUAUUACAGACCACUAAUAAGGUCGCAAGCGGUGAUCAUUUUAUCUUACUAGGAAACCAUCGUUGCCUUCCUUGUGGAGACAGACAAUUUACUACAUCUAUGCCUUCUCCGGGAUUCGAAAGAGGACCUUCUGGUACUGCAGUCAGUGUCACUAACCACAUUCCUGUCGCUGCGGCAUAUACUCAGGAAAUAAAAGAAUCGAAUUUGAGAUGAAUUCUGUUUUUAAAGGUACUGAAUUCAAUUUGACAGAAUGCAAAUUAAAAGUAAUACAACAUAUAUGUGGAGAUAAAUCACUGAAAGUCAGCCAUGACUUUACUCGGAGUCAAACAUAGAAGUAUCGAAUUGCUUAAUCCAGAAGGAGAGGAAUACAUUGUUGUUAAUAAUAAUGAAAUGAUUGAAAAUGUAACCAAAAAAUACUACAUUGUAUUAUUGAUUAAGUUAUGCUAGAUAAAUAUGUUUUAGUUUUUAAAACGCAGAGAAAUAAUAUAAGUUUCAAAAGUUGACUGCAAUUUUGCGCGAAGCUGAAAUGUAGUACGAAAGAUUUUAAAUAAAAUUUGC